This 498-nucleotide ribosomal RNA is filed under the name uncultured Glomus. RNAcentral's name for it is "SSU rRNA". It matches the Rfam family "Eukaryotic small subunit ribosomal RNA", at positions 569 to 1074 of the family's 1831-position model. Lineage: Eukaryota; Fungi; Glomeromycota; Glomeromycetes; Glomerales; Glomeraceae. The record is from RNAcentral.
AGCAGCCGCGGUAAUUCCAGCUCCAAUAGCGUAUAUUAAAGUUGUUGCAGUUAAAAAGCUCGUAGUUGAAUUUCGGUAUCAAUUUGCUGGUCGUCCUCUGGUACGUACUGGUAUUAUUGGUUUCUCCCUUCUGACGAACCAUGAUGUCAUUAAUUUGAUGUCGUGGAGAAUCAGGACUGUUACUUUGAAAAAUUGAGUGUUUAAAGCAGGCAUUAGCUUGAAUACAUUAGCAUGGAAUAAUGAAAUAGGACGUUUGAUCCUAUUUUGUUGGUUUCUAGGAUUGACGUAAUGAUUAAUAGGGAUAGUUGGGGGCAUUAGUAUUCAAUUGUCAGAGGUGAAAUUCUUGGAUUUAUUGAAGACUAACUACUGCGAAAGCAUUUGCCAAGGAUGUUUUCAUUAAUCAAGAACGAAAGUUAGGGGAUCGAAGACGAUCAGAUACCGUCGUAGUCUUAACCAUAACUAUGCCGACUAGGGAUCGGAUGAUGUUAAUUUUUAUGA